Long non-coding RNA from Peromyscus californicus insignis, 5790 nucleotides. RefSeq lists it as uncharacterized. NCBI's taxonomy places the organism in Eukaryota, Metazoa, Chordata, Mammalia, Rodentia, Cricetidae. The transcript is spliced from 4 exons. The record is from RefSeq and is a predicted model, not a curated record.
CCUCCGUCCUCUGCACACGCAAGGCUCUCAAGAGACUGCACCGGCCCUGGGAAGUUACAGCACACACCCAGGAACGAGAACAUCACGGGGGUCCCCCACCCCACCCUGCACAGGACUGCAGACUAAAUGUGCUAGCUCCUGCGGUCGAGCCCGCCCUACCAGGAUGGCCCGCACCCUGGAACUGUGAGCAAAGCAAACCCUUCGUUCCUUAAGGUGCUCUUGUCAGGAAAGGACACUCACACAGUGCCCAGGCUCCCUGGUCUGCCCAGAGAUCUGUCAAUCCCAACACAAGUGUGAUCUCUUACACGUUGCCGCCACACUGCUGAAUUGAUGGGACUGCCUGAGUGGACUUUCAGUUUCCAACACUACAAGCUAAAUAGAUCUCUUCACUUGAACAAAAAGUUAGCCUGCCUCAGCUAUUUCAUUACAGGAAGAAAAAACAGACUGAAACACAGUGUGUUGAAUGUUCAGAUUCUCGACAACUGGAACCUAGAGGGAUGUGAACGUAUGACUGAAAUGAAUAAAGAUGCACAGAGGGAAAAUAAACAACAGUGAACGAUGGCCCAGGUGUGGGUAGAAAUGUACACCUGGGUAGGGAGAGUGCACGAACAUACUUGGGCAGAGUUCAUGCACACCUGGAUGGGGGACAAUGGUGUUCAUGCAUGAGCAGUCAGGCCCUAAGCCAGGCUUUGACCAUCUGGCUGAGACAAGACUGUCUAAUGGUAUGUCCAGUGUGCCAAGGCUUCCAGCUUUUCAAGUGCCAGAAACCAUGCAUGUAAAAUCGCCUCAUUUUUAAGAUUUUUAUCUAUUCUUUAUGUGUAUUGGUGUUUUGCCUGCAUGUAAGUGCACUUUAUUAGAGGCUAGAAGAGGUAUUAAGACUCCCUGGAACUAGAGUUAAGGAUGGCUGUGAGCCACCAUGUGGGUGCUGGGAACCAAAUCCAGGACCUCAUAUACUGCUGAGCCCCAAAUCUCCUAAUCUCUAAAAUGCUGGCUCCCAUUGAAAAUAAACAUGAGUGGAUAUUAUGACCCUGGUACCUACUGAAACUCUAGUGUCCAGUGCACAUCCCUGGACAGGAUGCACAGUGGCUGAAGAGUGACAAGCAGUAGCCUAGAGGAAAAUGCAGCUUCCCAGGUGGUGCAGACCAUAAGGCCCAGGCUUCCCGGGCUUCCUGGGCUUCCCAGGUGGUGCAGACCGUAAGGCCCUGGCUUCCCAGGCUUCCCAGGCCUCCCGGGGUUCCCGGGCCUCCUUCUCAGCACUGCACUCAGACCCCGCCACCCCUCUAACCUGUCUGCAACAACAUCAGAACAACCAAAUCAAGAGUAAGGGAAGAAGCUUACUGCUAGAACCUGGAUCCACCAAGCAGAUUAACCAGUCCCUCCACAGUGGGAAGACCCGGAAGUGGAUGUCAGGACACCAGAGUCCCACACAGGAACGGCAGACAAGACCACAGUCAGAACACUGCUUUGGAGGAAGAGGGUACCACAUCACCUGGAUGCUCAUCUUUCCUCAGACACUCCUGCUCCUUCCUGGGCCUUCAAGAUAGAAGGCCUUAGGCCUCCACCAAACCAGAUUAUUUUGUUCUCAAAAUCCCUCAGCCAGGCAGUGGUGGCGCAUGCCUUUAGUCUGCACUCGGGAGGCAGAGGCAGGAGGAUCUCUGUGAGUUCGAGGCCAGCCUGGUCUACAGAGUGAGUUCCAGGACAACCAGAGCUGUUACAUGGAGAAACCCUGUCUCAUAGAAAAAUAAAAACAUAAACAAGGUCCCUGACCUCAAACUGCUAGGACUAAUAAGUAGCAGAAGACAAGUGAAUGGAAAAUCUUAAUGCAGCCCUGUGCACUCCAACAGAUGUGGAAUAGGGAGGGUGGAGGGGGCAGGUCCCAAAGGCAGGAGGCAUCUGCUAGAGCAGCGGUUCUCAACACAUAGGUCUCUACCCCAUUGGGGAAGUGGCAUAUCAGAUAUCCUACGUAUCAAACACGAUUCAUAACAGUAGCAAAAUUAUAGUUAUGAAGUAGCAACAAAAUAAUUUUAUGGUUGGGCAUUACCACAACAUGAGGAACUAUAUUAAAGGGUCUCAGCAUUAAGAAGGUUGAGAACCACUGUGCUAGAGGGUCACUGACUUGAAAGGGAAAAACAUCAUUGGGGUAUUUACCAAGCAGAACACACACAUACAUACAUAUAUAUCAAAUACAUAAAAUGUAAAGGAAAAAAGGCAAAUUUGCAGGCUAAUGAAGUAGAUGUGCUUGUUUUUGCAUAAAGAACUAAAUUUUAGCUAAAUAUUUGAUGUUGCAGGACAUAGGGCAUCAUCAGCAUUUUUUGGAUGAUCGAAAUUUUGAUGCCUGAGAAUGCUACUUUACAUAAAUUAAAAUGGCAGAAAUAUGUUUAGGGCAAUUCCAAAAACUGUUGAAAAUUCUGUCCUAAUCCCGAGCCAAAACUCAAUUAGAUGAUGAUGAUGAUGAUGAUGAUGAUGAUGAUGAUGAUGAUGAUGAUUUAAAUAGGGCUUCUUUGUGUAGCCCUGGCUGCCUGGGAACUUACUAUAUAGACCAGGCUGGCUUUGAACUCACGAAGAUCUGCCUCCACACACACCCAGUGCUGAGAUUACCAUGUUUAGCCUCAAUUUUUUUUGCCUCAAUUUUUUUAAAAGACAGAUUCCCUUGUAGAAAAAGCAGUUUUUAAUUUUUAAAAUUACAUUUAUUUCUUUUAUUGGGGAGCAUGCAUAUGCUACUGUGCAUAUUUUCAAGUGGAACUAGUUCUCUCCCACCAUGUGGAGCCUGGGGAUCAAACUCAGCUUACCAGUCUUUGCAGGAAGUACCUUUAGUUACUGAGCCAUCUUCUCACUAGCCCCCAAAUAGCAUUUAAAAAAUAAACACAACAUUCUAGACAGGUGUGGUUGUAUACACCUUCAGUCUCAGCACUCAGAAGUCAGAGGCAGGUGAAUCUCUGGGAGUUUCAGACCGAGCAGGGCUUCAUAGUGAGACACUGUCUCAAAUAAGUAAAUAAAUAAAACAUGGUAACACAGUAUAUACUAACUUGAUACACGAUGAAGAGCAGUAAGUUUGUUUCUAUAAGAGCAAUAACUUUGUAUUUACAGUGAUGCGGCCCCUCCUAACUCACAAUGCUUUCCAAUCUGGGCAGAGGUGACUCAGGAAGCCUUUGUUGGCAUUGCAUGGUUGCAUGGUAUGACUUGGCAUGGGCAAGACCGUGUGCACAUGCCCAGUGUUCAGAACCAAGGCUGCAGUAAUGCUGUACAAUGCAACAUGGGUAAGUGUUGUAGAAACAUCUCAAAGUCACUGUGUGUUUGACUUGGAAUUAAUUUUUGGUCAUAUAUUGAUUGAUGCCUUUUACUGUUGACAAACUUUUCAUGCUCUCCACACUGUUAUGCAAUCCCAUAUGGGGUUGCAAGCCCUAGUUUAAAAAGCUGUGACUUAAGCUGGCCGGCAGUGGUACACACCAUUAAUCCCAGCACUCAGGAGGCAGAGGCAGGGGGAUCUCUGUGAGUUCGAGGACAGCCUGGUCUACAGAGUGAGUUCCAAGACAGGCUCCAAAGCUACAGAGAUACUCUGUCUCGAAACCGCCCCCCCCCCAAAAAAAAAGCUGUGAUUUAGGUACCAGCCCUUCAGGCAGUCAAGGCACCUGUGCUUACCAGAGACUACUCACUCCCUUCUGGCAUCUUUGGCUGCCUGUUCUCAGUGCACACUGAGGAGAUAGGCUAGUGUGGAAGAAGAAGAAGGACGAGGAGGAGGAGGAGGAGGAGGAGAAGAAGAAGAGGAGAAGAAGAAGAAAGAAGAAGAAGAAGAAGAAGAAGAAGAAGAAGAAGAAGAAGAAGAAGAAGAAGAAGAAGAAGAAGAAGAAGGAUGCUCGUGCCCUUGAGCUCCUCCUCAAGCAAGAGACAGCAACCGAAGUAACUGUGCAGCCUUAAGAGCUGAGAGACAGAUGUCAUAGAGGGGGUGGAGCAGCUGACCAACCAGAUGGCCCCUCAAAGCUGGCUUGACCUUAGUCUCCUCAAUGGCCUACUACUCAGAAACACAAAGUUCUAGUCCACAAAGAGUUGAUUUUAACUCAGGGGACUAAUUCAGACUGAACAGACUCAGAGACACCAAUGUCUAAACAACCAGCCAGGCAGUUUACUCAUUUACCUCUUCAGCAACUAUUCAUGUCAGCUUCCCAGUGCCAAAAUGCACAACCCAUGGACAAGGAUUUCAUAAGCACCCAGUGUCCAUUAUUUAACCAACUGUAAGUACCUGAAUGAAGGAAAUAACAGCCAAAUGAGGUGGGGACGGAAAUGGCAGGGGAAAUUAUGCAAUAAGCUUGGCGUCAAACAAGCCGGAGUUUAAAAGCUGUCCACUGUGUAUUAAAGGGCUGUCAUUGCCUGUAAAGUAUGGGUAUAACAACACCUCCUUACCAGAUUAUUAGUCAAUUAAGUGGGGUUCCAUAUAAACUGCCUCGUUAUAUUUUUGUAUUUAAUUGGAAGUGUAUGCCACAUGCUGACCCAGGGAGGCUCUGGGAUCCCAGAGAACUGGUACAAAUGCUAGUUCUGCAAGUUACUGGAAUACAGCCUUGGGAAAGCAGCUUCAUCCCCGACACACACACACUUCAAUUUUCUUGUUUAUAAAAUGGGAAUAAGAAGUCUUCAGUGUAUUUGAAGUCUAGUCAAAGUUCUAAGACAUGGUAAGCAUUUGAUAAUGGUGACUGAGUACUUUUUAGCUGGGUGUGCUAGCGCCUGCUGUAAUUCUACAGUUGAGGCAGUGAGUUGGGGGUCAAGUUGGGCUAUAUGGUGAGAGGGCAUGAAACGUGUUCUUAGAAGUUGUCCAUAAUAACACAGCAGUGGAGCAUACACUAAAAGUUAAAGUUAGAACUAGUGUAAGCUUUUUGUUUUUUGAGACAGGGUUUCUCUGUAUAGCCUUGGCUGUCCUCGAACUCACAGAGCUCCUCCUGCCUCUGCUUCCCCAGUGCUGGGUUUAAAGGCAUUCACCACCACCUCCUGCCGGUACAGCUUUUUUAUUUAUUUACUUGUUUGUUUCUAUGGCUGUCCUGGAACUCACAAUGUAGACUAGCUUAGCCUUUAACAGAGAUCUAUCUGCUAGAGUGCUAGGAUUAAACGUGUCAGCAUAUCAGGCUUUUUAAUGAAAUUUAAAUUAAAGAUCAUGCCAUCAAACAUACAGAAAAGACCACUUUGUAUAGCAUUAUCAAAAAUACUUUUAUGAGACAAGCCUCUUACCUCAGAUUAGUCUCACAUCCUUAUUUUCCGAGAGUUUCUAAAAUAAUGCCAUUUGAGGGCAGCCGAGCAAAAACUCAAUCUGUUUCAAUACUGCUAAGUCAUGAUCAUAAAGCACCGUCUGGGACCUAUCUUUCCACUUUAACGAUGGGGAACCCAGGUAACCAAUAAGCAGUACGCAUUCGGCCUAAAAAUUGUACAACCACGUACUGUGCAAUAACGAAAACUCGUGCAGAAAAUGACACAAAUCUUUCAAUUCUGCAUCGUGUCUUUAUUCUGCCCCAAUGACACUGUCAAUUUCUAAAUGGCUUUAUAAGCCUUAUAAGUCGUGGGAAAAUAACCUUGGUUUUGAGCAAAACAAAAUAGAUCUAUUUUAACCUUACAAAUUCAUCUGGCUUAGAACAAAGGGCAGCCCCUGUUCCGUAAGUGUUGUUUCUCCCCAUCCAGGAAACCACGCAGCUGCUAAGCCAGGUUGCUGCUCUCAGAAGCCUCAAGAAGUUCGAACAGGGCUCUGGUCAAUCUCAGGUAUUUCUACAUUUUAAUUGGUACGAUUUUAAGUCUCAAUAGAAACUUUUUACA